RNAcentral lists this unclassified non-coding RNA (175 nucleotides) under uncultured fungus. RNAcentral's name for it is "sequence contains ITS1". The record is from RNAcentral. Lineage: Eukaryota; Fungi.
UUGACUUAUUUGAUAAGUUACUCAGAGAGGCCUACAAAAACAGGGUUUGGGUACCGCCGGCGGGCGUCCUCCCGGGGGGGCGCGCCGCCGAGGCAACGGUUACGGUAACGUUCGCGAUGGUUUGUGGGAGUUUUGCAACUCUUUAAUGAUCCCUCCGCUGGUUCACCAACGGAGA